Long non-coding RNA from Oncorhynchus tshawytscha (Chinook salmon), 4918 nucleotides. The record is from Ensembl. Lineage: Eukaryota; Metazoa; Chordata; Actinopteri; Salmoniformes; Salmonidae.
GGUCAACCUGCCUAUGUACCUGAACAAUGGUCAGGUGUCUGUCUACAGGAGUGGCUGGUAUGCUGUGGUCACAACCAGCUUUGGCCUUAACGUCUCCUUCGACUGGAACAGUGCAAUGUUUGUCACGCUGCCCUCCACCUACAGGUCGCUGCCUGUGGCAACUACAACACCCGGCCUCAAGAUGACCUUGUACCCAGGAACGAGACAACCCCUGCCAGGCCAGAGGACUUCGGGGCCAGUUGGUGCAUGGAGCAGAUCCCUGGCUGUGUCCACGGCUGUAUUGGGGCCUGUCCCAACUGAAGUCAACCAGAAGAGGUGGUUCUGAGGAACCCGACGGGGCCUUUCCAGGACUGCUUUGCCACAGUGAACCAGGUGGGAUACUUUGAGGACUGCGUGUAUGACGUGUGUUUGUAUAAGGGCAAGUGUCCAGCCCACAGCCACUGAGGUGUGUUUCUGGCUGUCCUGCCACUUGCCAGAGCCUGUCCCCUCCCUCAGGUUGCCUCGCCCAGUGUAACGAGGGCUUCUCCUGUAAUGAAGGACACAUCCUCAGCAGUGACCACUGUGUCCGCGUCGCCCAGUGUGGCUGUGUUCAUAGUGGCCGCUACUACAACACCAACCAGAUGUUCUACCCCAACCGGAAGUGUGAGUGGUGCAAGUGCACCCAGGAUGGAUAAGUAUAAAUAACUUAACUUUUAAUAGGAGUAUUUGUAUUGAGAUAUUACCUUGCUAUUUGCUGUAUAGAUGAAUGGCUGUACAGAAAUUCCAUUGUACUUGUCUUUUCAGUGAUGUUUCAGAAUAUCUGAUCAUCUGUAGGUGGAAUGCAAUAACUUCUCCUGCGGCCCCAACGAGAUGUGAGGUGGGGAAAGGGGUGUGCCACGUGUCCGGUGGCCCCCACUACACAUCUUUCGACAGGCUGGUGUAUGACUUCCAGGGCAUGUGUACCUACACCCUGGCCAAGGGCAAUGGUCUGGAGGGGACCCACCUGGUGGGCUUCUCUGUACAGGUGGAGAACGAGAAGUGUAACAAACAGUUGUCAUCAUGCAGGUGGCUCUGGAUGUGUACAACUACACCCUGGUCCUCAGUAAGAAUGUUAUGGGAGUCCUGGUAAGUAGGAGGGGGCUUGUUGGUUUCUGACUUUGAAUGAAUAAAACAUCCCCCAUCUUGCCUUCACAAGCCGUUUUCUGUUUGUGAUCAUUGGAGAAAAUCGGGUUGGCGCAUUUAUUCUUUAGCACAGUUUUGACAAGGUUUGACCACAAUACUGUUUAUCCUCCAACCAGGUGAAUGGAAUGUUCAACCACCUGCCUCUGAGUGGCGGGCAGUGCAGGUCUUCCAGGAGGGCUUCCACUAUAUCAUCACAACGGACUACGGCCUGCACGUCACCUAUGACACUUGCCCCUUGUCAAAUGAGGGCCCGCUAUGUGCGAGUGUCUGCACAGAAUCUUGUGUGUGUGUGUGAUGAGGGUUAUGUCCUCAGCGUUGGGCGUCUGUGCCUGCCAAACCCUGCGGCUGCUCCUCCCAGGGUCACUACUACAAGGCUGGUCAGCGCUUCUGGGCAGACCGUGUCUGUGUGAGUGUAACACCUCUCUGGGCAUGGUGAACUGCUUCGAGGCCUCCUGUUCGGCCAACGAGAAGUGCAGUCUGGUGGAUGGUAAACACUCCUGCCUACCACCCAGCACUUGCACCGCUGCAGGUGACUCUCAUUACCUUCGACGGCCACUGGUUUGACUACCAGGGUACUUGUGUGUACCAGCUGGUGGCGGUGUGCACCCAGAAGCCGGGCCUGGUGCCGUUCAAGGUGACAGUGCAGAAAUGUGGCCUACACGAAGAUUGUCAUCUACGGCGUCUCCCUCACCAUCAGCAGGGACUACCCCUUCAAGAUCCUGGGGAGUGUUACUGGAUAGGGACAGAUGUAUAGAGGGGGGUUAGUUAGUAUAUUUACAGGACUUUAUAAUUGUUUUUUAACACGUAGUUUAUUCUACUACUCAUGAUGCUGUUACAGCUAUUUUAAUUAAGCGGUCUAGUCCUUAAUCCUUGCAGAUUUAAUGAAAUUAUCGUUUAACUGGGAAUUACAAUGAAAAAAAUCUAUAGUCUCCCAUAUAAUUGUCCUUCCUCUUUCGUCUCGGUUGGAUGGACAGCUUGCGUCCCUGCCCCUGGAGCUGAAGAGUCAGCUGAUGGUGUUCCGCAGUGACCGAAGGGCGGUGGUGGAGACUGCUGCGGGCAUCAUGCUGACCUUUGACAAACUCCCCAGCACCUACCAGGGGGCAGUCUGCGGCCUGUGUGGCAACUACAACGCCAUGCCUCAGGUCGACCUCACUAUGCGUGACAGUCAACCUGCGCCCAACGCCACCUGUCUGUGUGUGAGCUGGCGGGUGGCCCUUGUGCCUGGUUGCUCCUCUGGAUGCUAGGGGACACAAUGCCAGUCCUGCUCGGACGCAGAGAAGAAUGCGUACAGCUCCCGCUGUGGCAUCAUAGCAGACAAAGCCGGCUCCUUCAAAGAGUGCCAUGGCGCCGUGGACCCUGCUCUGUACCUGGAGGACUGUUGUCGAUGCCUGUUAUAAUCAUGGUGACCAGGGGUCGGCGUGCGACGUGGUAGAGGCCUAAGUCUCUGCCUGUCAGAGCAAGGGGGUGACAGUCCAUUCCUGGAGGAGUGAUGGCUUCUGUCGUGAGUCGGCGUUACCUUACAUCAUAUGCCGUUUAGCAUACAUUUUUAUCCAAAGCCAUGUCCCCCUCGCUAAAUAAGUUUCUAACCUCUGGUCUCUUCCUGGUUCAAUAAAGGUUACUUAGUCAUGCAUGCGUAUAUUUUUCAUAUGGCUGGUCCUAGGAAUCAAACUCACAAUCCUGGUCUGGGGGGUGGAUCAGCUUUUAUAAUCCAGGUUGUGGCUUCUAGAAAUGUUUGCAUAACUUCCAAUCCUCAACAACUCAACCCUCUUUGUCCCACAGCUCUGUCCUGUCCAGCCAACGGCCACUAUAGCCUCUGUGCCCCAGGCUGCCCUGCCACCUGUACAAGCCUCUCCACAUGUCGCCAGUCCUGUUUUGAGAGCUGCCAGUGUGGCGAAGGCUACCUGCUGAGUGGUGACGCUUGUGUACCUGUGGCCCAGUGUGGCUGCUCUUACGGGGGGCGCUGCUACAGGAAGAGGGAGACCUUCUACCCCAGGGUCACUGUCUAGACCAGUGUACCUGUGGGAAAACUGGGCAAUCUCCUGCCGGAAGGCCAAGUGUGGUGCCGGGGAGGCCUGCAAGGUGGUAAACUGGGUGUUGGGGUGCCACCCAAUUGGACAGGCCACAUGUUUAGUGUCAGGUGACCUCCACUACAUGUCAUUCGAUGGCUACAGGUUUGACUUCCAGGACACCUGUCUAUACGCUGGCCAAGGUGUGCGAAGAUUAUAAAGGCAGACUGACUGGCUUCACCGUGACUCACGGGAAUGAUAUGUAUGGGAAGGUGGCGCUCAAUAACGUCAUCGCUGUGUCUGUCUACAGCUAUUCCAUCAGCAUUGUGCAGGGGACGAGCUGGAGAGUGAUUCGGCACUGGCGGCUCCUUGCAGACUGGCGGCACUGGCGGCGCUGGGCAGACUGGCGGCGCUGGGCAGACUGGCGGCACUGGCGGCGCUGGGCAGACAGGUGGCUCAGGCGGCACUGGGCAGACGGGUAGUCCAGAUGGCGCUGGGCAGACGGGUAGUUCAGAUGGCGCUGGGCAGACGGGUAGCUCAGAUGGCGCUGUGCAGACAGACGACUCUGAUGGCGCUGGGCAGACGGGAAGCUCCGGCAACGCUGGAGAGGAAGGCUCUGGCAGCGCUGGACUGAGUAGCUCUGGCGCCUCUGGAAUGAGGGGCUCUAGCGCCUCUGGACUGAGGGGCUCUAGCGCCUCUGGACUGAGGGGCGGGAGCUCUGGCAGCGCCAAACCGGCGGGAGACUCCGGCUGCGCUGGAGGGGAGGAAGGCUCUAGCAGCACCGGAGAGGCGGGACAAUGUGACCGAAUGAAUGACUUGAAUUUUAGAACUUCUGAAUCUUAUCUGAAUUAUCACAGGAGGGUCUGGUUGCUGUGGCAGUCUGGUAACCACCACAAUGGACAGAUGCAGAGACUUUAACUUUUUUUACAUGUCUCUGUGACAAGGGAACUGAAUGUCGCAGAGACAGUCUACAGACAUUCCGCCAGAGCAGUGGCAAUUUUGGAAUGUAAAUCUUGGUGGGGCUAAUUCACACAUUUUUGUUAGCUGCAUGCCUGCAAAGCCACUAUACAAUACAUUAAUUGCACUAGAACAUAAAGCUUUCCUUUCAGCACCAUAGUGAAUCCUUACCACCGCUACACCUGGAUAUCAGCGGAGCCUUGCCUGGCAGUGAGUUAAUUCAGCCUCAUUUACUGCCUUUUUCAACAACAAAAAACCUUUGACUUGCUUAAUUAAAUAUGGUGUUGUGUCUUUGGCUAUGCCGCAUUAAGUGAUAUGACUAUUCUAUAAAUCAUUUCUCUAAUACCUGAUUAACUUCUUGAUGCACCCAACCCGUUAGCGGGAUCAUUUGUCAACAUCCGCUGAAUUGCAGAGUGCCAAAUUCAAAUUAAAUUACAAAAAAUAUUACAUUUUCAUGAAAUCACAAGUGCAAUAUAGCAAAACAUAGCUUAGCUUGUUGUUAAUCCACCUGGCAUGUCAGAUUUCAAAAAAGCUUUUCGGUGAAAGCAUACCAAGCGUUUAUGUAAGAACAUCUCUCUCAGCAGACAAAACAUUAAACAGCUAGCAGCAAAGUAGGUUGGUCAGAAAAGCAAUAAAAUGAAUAGCUUACCUUUGAUCUUUGGAUGUUUGCACUCACGAAACUCCCAGUUACACAAAUGUUCCUUUUGUUCCAUAAAGAUUAUUUUUAUAUCCAAAAUACCUCCAUUUGUUUGGUGCGUUAUGUUCAGUAAUUCACAGGCUCGAGCGGUCACGAU